AGUGAACGCUGGCGGUAGGCCUAACACAUGCAAGUCGAACGGCAGCACAGUAAGAGCUUGCUCUUACUGGUGGCGAGUGGCGGACGGAUGAGGAAUACAUCGGGAUCUACUUUUUCGUGGGGGAUAACGUAGGGAAACUUACGCUAAUACCGCAUACGACCUACGGUUGAAAGCAGGGGAACUUCUGACCUUGCGCGAUUGAAUGAGCCGAUGUCGGAUUAGCUAGUUGGCGGGGUAAAUGCCCACCAAGACGACGAUCCGUAGCUGGUCUGGGAGGAUGAUAACCCACCGUGGAACUUAGCCACGGUCCAGACUACUAAGGGACGCAGCAGUGUGGUAUAUUGGACAAUGGUGGCAAGCCUGACCCAGUCAUACGGAGCCGGUGAAGAAGGCCUUGGGGUUGUAAAGCCGUCUUGUUGGGAAAGAAAAGCAGCAGGCUAAGACCCCGCUGUUCUGACGGUACUCAAAGAAUAAGCACCGGCUAACUUCGUG
This 492-nucleotide ribosomal RNA is filed under the name uncultured bacterium. RNAcentral describes it as "partial 16S ribosomal RNA". It matches the Rfam family "Bacterial small subunit ribosomal RNA", at positions 29 to 507 of the family's 1533-position model. The record is from RNAcentral.